CCUUGUACACACCGCCCGUCACACCACGGGAGUCGAUUGGUCCCGAAGUGCGUGGGCUAACCCCUUGCGGGGAGGCAGCGUCCUAAGGAAUGGUCGGUGACUGGGGUG
RNAcentral lists this ribosomal RNA (108 nucleotides) under uncultured bacterium. Its description in RNAcentral is "partial 16S ribosomal RNA". It matches the Rfam family "Bacterial small subunit ribosomal RNA", at positions 1379 to 1482 of the family's 1533-position model. The record is from RNAcentral.